This 467-nucleotide ribosomal RNA is filed under the name uncultured bacterium. Its description in RNAcentral is "partial 16S ribosomal RNA". It matches the Rfam family "Bacterial small subunit ribosomal RNA", at positions 28 to 507 of the family's 1533-position model. The record is from RNAcentral.
GACGAACGCUGGCGGUGUGCUUAACACAUGCAAGUCGAACGGUAAGGCCCUUUCGGGGGUACACGAGUGGCGAACGGGUGAGUAACACGUGAGUAACCUGCCCUCAUCUCUGGGAUAACAGUCGGAAACGGUUGCUAAUACUGGAUAUGAGCUUGCAAGGCAUCUUGUGGGUUGGAAAGAUUUUUUUGGUUGGGGAUGGACUCGCGGCCUAUCAGCUUGUUGGUGAGGUAGUGGCUCACCAAGGCUUCGACGGGUAGCCGGCCUGAGAGGGCGACCGGCCACAUUGGGACUGAGAUACGGCCCAAACUCCUACGGGAGGCAGCAGUGGGGAAUAUUGCACAAUGGACGGAAGUCUGAUGCAGCAACGCCGCGUGCGGGAUGACGGCCUUCGGGUUGUAAACCGCUUUCAAUUGUGACGAAGCUUUUUUGUGACGGUAGCAGUAGAAGAAGCACCGGCUAACUACGUG